Molecule: transfer RNA, 72 nt
Filed under: Cliona patera
Lineage: Eukaryota; Metazoa; Porifera; Demospongiae; Clionaida; Clionaidae
Description: tRNA-Met
Rfam family: tRNA
About the family: Transfer RNA (tRNA) molecules are approximately 80 nucleotides in length. Their secondary structure includes four short double-helical elements and three loops (D, anti-codon, and T loops). Further hydrogen bonds mediate the characteristic L-shaped molecular structure. tRNAs have two regions of fundamental functional importance: the anti-codon, which is responsible for specific mRNA codon recognition, and the 3' end, to which the tRNAs corresponding amino acid is attached (by aminoacyl-tRNA synthetases). tRNAs cope with the degeneracy of the genetic code in two manners: having more than one tRNA (with a specific anti-codon) for a particular amino acid; and 'wobble' base-pairing, i.e. permitting non-standard base-pairing at the 3rd anti-codon position.
Source: RNAcentral
GGUGAUAUAGUUUAAGGGGAAAACAGUUAUUUCAUAUGUAAUAAGAUAAAGGUUCAAAUCCUUUUUUCACCU